GGGAGUUUGGUCUAGUGGUAUGAUUCUCGCUUAGGGUGCGAGAGGUCAUGGGUUCAAGUCCCGCAACUCCCC
RNAcentral lists this transfer RNA (72 nucleotides) under Pleodorina starrii. RNAcentral's name for it is "tRNA-Pro". It matches the Rfam family "tRNA". From Rfam's summary of the family: Transfer RNA (tRNA) molecules are approximately 80 nucleotides in length. Their secondary structure includes four short double-helical elements and three loops (D, anti-codon, and T loops). Lineage: Eukaryota; Viridiplantae; Chlorophyta; Chlorophyceae; Chlamydomonadales; Volvocaceae. The record is from RNAcentral.